AAAAAAAACUUCUCCCCAAAACCUGGUACCACCACCGCCUUCUCCCCACAUGAACAUGGGCUUUUCAGGUCGAUUUGACACCAAAACUGUUGUUGCUACCACAUGAACUUACCUCUAGUUACUAACCCACUUCAAUUUCUCGACCCUGAACGUGGAUUUCAGGGCAAAACCCACAUGAACUCACCUCUAGUUACUAACCCACUCAGAUUUCCCGACCCUGAAAGUAUAUUUCAACCCAAAAUAACUCCUACUCACCACAAUAACUCCUUCCAGGUCUAUUCCGUUUCCUGAAUAUGUUCAUUCGUUUUUUUAGCGGGAAUUCCGUUUCCUGAAUAUGUUCAUUUCGUUUUUUUAGCGGAAACCGAGAGAAAAAGGAAAGAGGUUGGAGUUUAGGGGAAAAAGAAAAUACACAAUGCAAUGGGAUUUCGAAUAAUAAGGUUUGUACACAACAUUAUCGUUCUGGAGGACUAUGAUCAUGUCAUUAAAUUUCAUCCAAAGAAUUUAUUCUGGCUUGUGAAAAGUGCGGUAUGGAGGAUUAUCGUGUUCAUUCAGCAUUUUUGUAUCGAAGAGGAGAUGGUAUCGUGGACCCUGCGGAGUACAACUACAACAAGAAG
RNAcentral lists this long non-coding RNA (614 nucleotides) under Capsicum annuum. RNAcentral describes it as "long non-coding RNA (CANN_LNC015040)". The record is from RNAcentral. Lineage: Eukaryota; Viridiplantae; Streptophyta; Magnoliopsida; Solanales; Solanaceae.